This is a non-coding RNA of Miniopterus natalensis, 289 nucleotides long. NCBI's taxonomy places the organism in Eukaryota, Metazoa, Chordata, Mammalia, Chiroptera, Miniopteridae. The record is from RefSeq and is a predicted model, not a curated record.
UGACCGCAGCGCCGUCCGGAAGGGCUGGGGAUCGCCGAUGUGAACCAAGGCGAAGCUUCCCCAUCCCGACUGAGAAACAUCCCAGGCAAGCACGCUGGCAAGCGUUGGCACUGGACCCGCCUCCAUCGGUUGCCUCGGAGCCGAUUACCCCAGAAACACGUUUGAUUCCACACCGGAGGUCGCGCUGGCAGCAGACUGUUCGCACGCGGAGCCGCCCCAGGUUGCUCAGGAUUCCCCGGACGCAGACGUCGAGGAGAACAUGGUAUUCUUUGGAGACACAGGAAGCUGC